Molecule: ribosomal RNA, 431 nt
Filed under: Theileria sp.
Lineage: Eukaryota; Apicomplexa; Aconoidasida; Piroplasmida; Theileriidae
Description: SSU rRNA
Rfam family: Eukaryotic small subunit ribosomal RNA
Source: RNAcentral
CGGGAGGUAGUGACAAGAAAUAACAAUACGGGGCUUUACGUCUUGUAAUUGGAAUGAUGGGAAUCUAAACCUCUUCCAGAGUAUCAAUUGGAGGGCAAGUCUGGUGCCAGCAGCCGCGGUAAUUCCAGCUCCAAUAGCGUAUAUUAAAAUUGUUGCAGUUAAAAAGCUCGUAGUUGAAUUUCUGCUGCAUCGCCUUUUCUCCUUUACGAGUUUUGGCAUUGUGGCUUAUUUCGGAUUUGCUUGCAUUUCCGAAUGUUUACUUUGAGAAAAUUAGAGUGCUCAAAGCAGGCUUUUGCCUUGAAUAGUUUAGCAUGGAAUAAUAAAGUAGGACUUUGGUUCUAUUUUGUUGGUUUUAGGUACCAAAGUAAUGGUUAAUAGGAACAGUUGGGGGCAUUCGUAUUUAACUGUCAGAGGUGAAAUUCUUAGACCAG